GCGAGGAAACCCGCUGAACUUAAGCAUAUCAAUAAGCGGAGGAA
RNAcentral lists this ribosomal RNA (44 nucleotides) under Caulerpa prolifera. Its description in RNAcentral is "partial 28S ribosomal RNA". The record is from RNAcentral. Lineage: Eukaryota; Viridiplantae; Chlorophyta; Ulvophyceae; Bryopsidales; Caulerpaceae.